RNAcentral lists this ribosomal RNA (460 nucleotides) under uncultured bacterium. Its description in RNAcentral is "partial 16S ribosomal RNA". It matches the Rfam family "Bacterial small subunit ribosomal RNA", at positions 338 to 795 of the family's 1533-position model. The record is from RNAcentral.
CCUACGGGACGCAGCAGUGAGGAAUAUUGGUCAAUGGACGAGAGUCUGAACCAGCCCAGUAGCGUGAAGGAUGACUGCCCUAUGGGUUGUAAACUUCUUUUAUAUGGGAAUAAAAUGUUCCACGUGUGGGAUUUUGUAUGUACCAUAUGAAUAAGGAUCGGCUAACUCCGUGCCAGCAGCCGCGGUAAUACGGAGGAUCCGAGCGUAAUCCUGAUUUAUUGGGUUUAAAGGGAGCGUAGGUGGAUUGUUAAGUCAGUUGUGAAAGUUUGCGGCUCAACCGUAAAAUUGCAGUUGAAACUGGCAGUUGUGAGUACAGUAGAGGUGGGCGGAAGUCGUGGUGUAGCGGGGAAAUGCUUAGAUAUCACGAAGAACUCCGAUUGCGAAGGCAGCUUACUAAACUGCCACUGACAUUGAUGCUCGAAAGUGUGGGUAUCAAACAGGAUUAGAUACCCUAGUAGUC